RNAcentral lists this non-coding RNA (30 nucleotides) under Rattus norvegicus (Norway rat). Lineage: Eukaryota; Metazoa; Chordata; Mammalia; Rodentia; Muridae. The record is from RNAcentral.
UUCAAGUUUCAGGUCUUUUGAUCUAUUUGA